AACGAACGCUGGCGGCAGGCCUAAAACACGCAAGUCGAACGAACCUUCGGGUUAGUGGCGCACGGGUGCGUAACGCGUGGGAAUAUACCUCUGGGUGCGGAACAACGUCUGGAAACGGACGCUAAUACCGCAUAGUAUCCACGGAUCAAAGAUUUAUCGCCCAGAGAUUAGCCCGCGUCUGAUUAGCUAGUUGGUGAGGUAAUGGCUCACCAAGGCGACGAUCAGUAGCUGGUCUGAGAGGAUGAUCAGCCACACUGGAACUGAAACACGGUCCAGACUCCUACGGGAGGCAGCAGUUGGGAAUAUUGGACAAUGGGGGAAACCCUGAUCCAGCCAUGCCGCGUGAGUGAAGAAGGCCUUAGGGUUGUAAAGCUCUUUCGGCUGUGAAGAUAAUGACAGUAGCAGAAGAAGAAGCUCCGGCUAAAUUCGUGCCAGCAGCCGCGGUAA
Molecule: ribosomal RNA, 447 nt
Filed under: uncultured bacterium
Lineage: Bacteria
Description: partial 16S ribosomal RNA
Rfam family: Bacterial small subunit ribosomal RNA
Source: RNAcentral